GCGGGGUAUAGCUCUGUGGUAGAGCAUUCGACUGCAGAUCGGAAGGUCCUCGCGGUUCAAACCCGGAUGUCCACU
Trichonephila inaurata madagascariensis is the source of this 75-nucleotide non-coding RNA. The record is from the annotation of a GenBank genome assembly. Lineage: Eukaryota; Metazoa; Arthropoda; Arachnida; Araneae; Nephilidae.